CCAUCAAAUGCCAUUGCACUGCACUGCGAUAACAACGACGCCAUAGCCCUUGCUAAGGAGCUUAGGUCUUAUUAGAAGUUUAAGCAUAUAGAGCAACAUUUUCACAUCAUACGUGAAUACCAUGAGAAGAAGUUCAUUGAGAUGCAGAGAGUCGACUCCACACUAAACAUGAUGGACUUGCUAACUAAGCCUCUCAGCCAGCAGA
This 205-nucleotide long non-coding RNA is filed under the name Elaeis guineensis (African oil palm). RNAcentral describes it as "long non-coding RNA (EGUI_LNC063973)". The record is from RNAcentral. Lineage: Eukaryota; Viridiplantae; Streptophyta; Magnoliopsida; Arecales; Arecaceae.